AUUGAACGCUGGCGGCAGGCCUAACACAUGCAAGUCGAGCGGAGCGGCGGACGGGUGAGUAAUGCCUAGGAAUCUACCUGGUAGUGGGGGAUAACGUCCGGCAACGGGCGCUAAUACCGCAUACUAUCAGAUGAGCCUAGGUCGGAUUAGCUAGUUGGUGGGGUAAAGGCCUACCAAGGCGACGGUCCGUAACUGGUCUGAGAGGUGGAUCAGUCAAACUGGAACUGAGAAAAGGUCCAGAAUCCUAAGGGAGGCAGCAGUGGGGAAUAUUGGACAAUGGGCGAAAGCCUGAUCCAGCAAUGCCGCGUGUGUGAAGAAGGUCUUCGGAUUGUAAAGCACUUUAAGUUGGGAGGCGUUACCAAAAGAAUAAGCACCGGCUAACUACGUGCCAGCAGCCGCGGUAAUAC
This 407-nucleotide ribosomal RNA is filed under the name uncultured bacterium. RNAcentral's name for it is "partial 16S ribosomal RNA". It matches the Rfam family "Bacterial small subunit ribosomal RNA", at positions 30 to 526 of the family's 1533-position model. The record is from RNAcentral.